UACAGAGGUCCCGAGCGUUGUUCGGAUUCAUUGGGCGUAAAGGGUGCGUAGGCGGCUUCCUAAGUUUGAUGUGAAAUCCUGGGGCUCAACCCUGGAACUGCAUUGAAUACUGGGAGGCUAGAGUACUGGAGAGGAAACUGGAAUUUACGGUGUAGCAGUGAAAUGCGUAGAUAUCGUAAGGAAGACCAGUGGCGAAGGCGAAUCUCUGGACAGUUACUGACACUGAGGCACGAAGGCCAGGGGAGCAAACGGG
RNAcentral lists this ribosomal RNA (253 nucleotides) under uncultured bacterium. Its description in RNAcentral is "partial 16S ribosomal RNA". It matches the Rfam family "Bacterial small subunit ribosomal RNA", at positions 524 to 776 of the family's 1533-position model. The record is from RNAcentral.